GCUUAUUUUCUUUUCCUGGCAUUUACAGUGGCUUCAAACACAACUGUGAGCACUACAACACCAAUGAUGACUACAGUUACAAAUGCAAUCACAGCAAAUGUUACAAACACCACACCUAUAACAAAUACAUCUAUGGUGCCUACAACAGCUUCAACUACACCUGUAAACACUACAACACCAAAGAUCACUGCAAAUACAAACACAACCACAACGACUCCUACAACCAACACACCUGUAACAACUACAACAGCUGAGCCAGUAACACGAGUAUUACUGACAUUCACCUCAGAUGAAACAUUCACACAAGACUUGGCUAAUUCUACAUCUACAGCAUUUAUAAAUCGAAGCAGGCUCAUAGAGACAACACUUACACCUUUUUACAGUGCAACAUUUGAUUCAUUCCAGUCAUUGAGAGUUGUUGCAUUCAGGUAACUUUUUUAUAUACAGAUGGAAUUUUACAAAUAUGUGUCAUACAUUAACAAAAAAAUUACAAUAUUUUUGUUUAUUCAUUUUACAGAAAUGGAUCCAUCAUCAGUGACAUUGAAAUACGGUUUGCAUCUACAUCAGUGCCUAAUGUAACUGAGAUUGCAAAUGUUUUGAUCAAUGCAGCCUCAAACAUAACAGCCUUCAACAUUACCACAACCUCUGUUGUUGUCCGUGAAAUAGGUAAGCAAUAUUUAAUGUUAUUAUGCUUUAGAGUCACAAUAUCUUAAAACUGUUUGUUAAAGCAACGGCUUGUUUUAUUUUCUUGGCAUUUAACAGUAGCUUCAACUACAACUGUGAGCACUACAACACCAAUGAUGACUACAGUUACAAACGCAAUCACAGCAAAUGUUACAAACACCACACCUAUAGCAAAUACAUCUAUGGUGCCUACAACAGCUUCAACUACACCUGUAAACACUACAACACCAAUGAUAACUACCCCUACAAACACAACCACGAUGACUCCUACAACCAGCACACCUGUAACAACUACAACACCUGAGCCAGUAACAGGACUAUUGCUGACAUUCACCUCAAAUGAAACAUUCACACAAGACUUGGAGAAUUCUACAUCUACAGCAUUUAUAAAUCGAAGCAGGCUCAUAGAGACAACAGUAAGUAUCCUUUUGAAGUUUCAUACCCAAACAUAUGCAUGCACAUACG
RNAcentral lists this long non-coding RNA (1149 nucleotides) under Oreochromis niloticus (Nile tilapia). RNAcentral describes it as "lncRNA (ENSONIG00000032327.1)". The record is from RNAcentral. Lineage: Eukaryota; Metazoa; Chordata; Actinopteri; Cichliformes; Cichlidae.